CAAAUUAGAACUUGAAAUAAGUAUUUUAUUUACAUUAAAAAAAUAAUUGUGAAAUUCAAUUUAAUUUGA
RNAcentral lists this transfer RNA (69 nucleotides) under Gonioctena leprieuri. RNAcentral's name for it is "tRNA-Val". Lineage: Eukaryota; Metazoa; Arthropoda; Insecta; Coleoptera; Chrysomelidae. The record is from RNAcentral.